GACGAACGCUGGCGGCGUGCUUAACACAUGCAAGUCGAACGGAAAGGCCCUGCUUUUGUGGGGUGCUCGAGUGGCGAACGGGUGAGUAACACGUGAGUAACCUGCCCUUGACUUUGGGAUAACUUCAGGAAACUGGGGCUAAUACCGGAUAGGAGCUCCUGCUGCAUGGUGGGGGUUGGAAAGUUUCGGCGGUUGGGGAUGGACUCGCGGCUUAUCAGCUUGUUGGUGGGGUAGUGGCUUACCAAGUCUUUGACGGAUAGCCGGCCUGAGAGGGUGACCGGCCACAUUGGUACUGAGGUACGGCCCAGACUGGUACGGUAGGCAGCGGGCGGGAAUAUUACACAAUGGGCGGAAGCCUGAUGCAGCAGCGCCGCGUGCGGGAUGACGUCCUUCGGGUUGUGAACCGCUUUCGCCUGUGACGAAGCGGUAGUGACGGUAAUGAGUAAAGAAGCACCGGCUAACUACGUG
RNAcentral lists this ribosomal RNA (468 nucleotides) under uncultured bacterium. RNAcentral's name for it is "partial 16S ribosomal RNA". It matches the Rfam family "Bacterial small subunit ribosomal RNA", at positions 28 to 507 of the family's 1533-position model. The record is from RNAcentral.